Molecule: unclassified non-coding RNA, 430 nt
Filed under: soil metagenome
Description: partial contains 5.8S ribosomal RNA, internal transcribed spacer 2, and large subunit ribosomal RNA
Rfam family: 5.8S ribosomal RNA (bases 1-120)
Source: RNAcentral
GAUGAAGAACGUAGCGAAAUGCGAUACGUAAUGUGAAUUGCAGAAUUCAGUGAAUCAUCGAAUCUUUGAACGCAUAUUGCGCUCUCUGGUAUUCCGGAGAGCAUGCUUGUCUGAGUAUCAGUAAACACCUCAACUCCCUUUUCUUUUUUGAAAUUGGAGCUGGACUUGAGUGAUCCCAACGCUUUCUUCCAAGAAAGUGGCGGGUUGCUUGAAAUGCAGGUGCAGCUGAACUUUUCUCUGAGCUAUAAGCAUAUCUAUUUAGUCUGCCUAAAAAACAGAUUAUUACCUUUGCUGCAGCUAACAUAAAGGAGACUAGUUCUUGUGCUGACUGAUGCAGGAUUCACAGAGACAGCUUCGGCUGACUUUGUAAACUCGAUCUCAAAUCAAGUAAGACUACCCGCUGAACUUAAGCAUAUCAAUAAGCGGAGGA